UUGAAAUUAUAGGUGACGGUUGUAGCUGGCCUUUCGGGGCAUGUGCACACCCGAGCCCUUAAUCCACACACACCUGUGAACCCAAUGUAAGGGCCCGUAAAAAGGUCUUUAUGUCUUAUCACCAACCUUUAUGUCUCAUAGAAUGUAAAUCUAUAUCCUCGCCUUUAAAAGCGUUGAUAAACUUAUA
This 187-nucleotide unclassified non-coding RNA is filed under the name uncultured Piloderma. Its description in RNAcentral is "sequence contains ITS1". The record is from RNAcentral. Lineage: Eukaryota; Fungi; Basidiomycota; Agaricomycetes; Atheliales; Atheliaceae.